RNAcentral lists this small RNA (28 nucleotides) under Bombyx mori (domestic silkworm). Its description in RNAcentral is "ovarian small RNA-19027". Lineage: Eukaryota; Metazoa; Arthropoda; Insecta; Lepidoptera; Bombycidae. The record is from RNAcentral.
UAACUGGAUGCAGUGGUACGGUGAAUGA